RNAcentral lists this long non-coding RNA (3806 nucleotides) under Marmota monax (woodchuck). The record is from RNAcentral. Lineage: Eukaryota; Metazoa; Chordata; Mammalia; Rodentia; Sciuridae.
UGUGUUUCUGAUUCACUGAAACUUUUACUUUUAAUGUGGUUAAAUUUCAUGUGUUUUUCCUUUGUUACCUGUUCCUUUGGUGUCUUGUAGGGAGAUCUGAGUUUUAACAAAAAUGACUACAGCUAAUGCCUUACCUAAAACUGAGGCCAAGCAGAAGAAAUAAGUUCUCAGCUCAUCUGAAAUCCCAACCCAACUCCCUGGCUGUCUGCCCUAGGACAGGUAAGCACACUGGGUUUUGUUGUGGUUCUUAUGCUGGCUGCUGAUCACUCACAGGAGACCUGAGGGCACACACGGUUUCAAGCCAGACUACAUGUAUCUUUACUCUUGAUUCCAUUUUACAUUGAGGCUCCAUUUUGUAUAAGAAGAGCCCCUCGCAUUAAAAAACCCACACCUGCAUCUUCCACAUCCUGCUUCUCAUGCUUAAUGCAUCCUGCUUGCUAGAACAUAACAUGAAAAAAAGGAAAAAGAAAAAAUGUUUCUCAAUAUAUUAUCUUUUGUUCCUGUGCAAUGUUGCUUUGACCUACUUUGCUUGUUAUUUUGGGCUAUAAAAGGCAUGCUUUAGACCCUGGCGGGGGUAGAAGGGUGCAGAGGCAAUUUGGUAGCUACCCUUGGGCCACUGGCAAAUAAAGUUCCUUGUCCUGCUUCAAGACUGACCUGGUAAAUUAUUUCAUAUAUACACAAUGGAAUAUUACUCACCAAUAAAAGAGAAUAAAAUCAUGGAAUUUUCGGGUAAAUGGAUGGAGUUAGAGAAGAUAAUGCUAAGUGAAGUUAGCCAAUCCAGAAAAAAAAAACAACAAAUGCUGAAUGUUUUCUUUGAUAUAGGGGGCUGAUUCAUAGUGGGAUAGGGAGAGGGAGCAUGGGAGGAUUAGAUAAACUCUAGAUAGGGCAGAGGGGUUGGAGGGGAAGGGGAGGGGGCAUAGAGUAAAUAAUGAUGGUGGAAUAUGAUGAUCAUUAUUAUCAAAAGUACAGGUAUGAAGACACGAAUUGGUGUGAAUAUACUAUGUAUACAACCAGAGAUAUAAAAAAUUAUGCUCUAUAUAUGUAAUAAGAAUUGUAAUGCAUUCAGCUAUCAUAUAUAGAUAUAAAAAAUGUGCCACAAUAUUUAUACACCUCAGUGAGAUCACUGGAGUCAGGGCUGUGGCUCUUGGGCACAUAGGGAUCCUGGAUCCUUGGACCCAGAGAGGGGCACCCUCCCUCUCAAGUUGUGAGAUCUCUGCAUUGCAAUUGUCUGGACCCACUGCAGUGACUGAUUCAAGCCUGCCCAUGGAAGAGGACAUGAAACUGCAUGUGUUUGAAGGUACCUCACUUAUUCUCUCAGUAGCAGAGUGUUUCCUGGCUUGGCCCAGAAAUCCAGUAAAUAGACAAUGUCAAAGUCUGAAAUCUGGGAGGAGAGAGUGUACAACUCUUGUUUUGUUGAUGUUUGUCUCCAUCUGUCAGUGACUUUUGGUUCUCAUCUUACUGUCCAUCCCAGUACAUACUUUCCUUUUAGUUUGACAGAUCAGACCCAUCAGUGACUGGCCGAUAUGCCAACUUCAGACUCCAGUCACACUUGGUGUCUCAUCAAAUUCUUAUCUCUAACUUUCUGUCUAUUUCUGAUCUAAUCAGUCUCAACAUUUGACUCCACUAGAAUGUAUGUUAAAAAUUUUCUCAUCUGGGUUCCACAAUGAUUAUGGGGUAUGCCUGACACUGGGACACCUCCAGACCCUGUGUGAGUUGGAAUGGCCCACAUUCAAUGUGGAAUGGCUAAGUGUGGUUCAGUGGACCCCCAUGCUGACCAGAGGGUCUGGAAUGUGGUAAUUUGUAGGCCUGGCCAUCCUGAUCAGUUCCCAUAUAUAGACCAAUGGCUUGGUUCUAAAUCCUCUGCUGUGGUGUAUUAAGGAAGUGACAUAGUUGGCCAAGAUUCUGGCUCUACAGGGUGGCAGGGUUCCCAGAAUUGCCAAAAGCAGGAUAAAAUGCAAGGCACAGAUUGACAACAGCCUCCAUGGCAUCUGUUGGCUCCUGUUCUGCCCCCUUCAGGUGAGGACAAUUUGCCACUCCCCAUAUAAUUCUCAUGGGCCCCAGACCCCUGCACAUUCCCAUGUGUCCUACCCUGGAUCUAUUAUAUCUCCUUCUUCUUCCUCUUUCAGAGUGUCCAUAACUCUCACUUCUCUCUUUGAGUCUAUUUUUCACAUUCAUCACCCCUCCUGGGAUGAUUGCCAACAACUUCCAAGGACUGUCCUAAAUUAAAGGCAAAAAAAGAGCAAGAUGGAGCCCAGCAACUCUUGUUAACUCUUUUCACCUCUGAUGAGCAAGGACCACAUUAGGACAGAGGCCAGCAAAGCUUUUCUUGAGGCUGCUCGUUGCACCGAAGCUGAGGUGACAACUGCUAGAGGAUGCCCUUCCUGAUACCAUCCAGAUUGGGACCCUAAUUCUGAUGUGGGCCAGGCACACUUGGAUGCCUAUCACCCACACCUAUUUGUAGGGCUAUGAGGGGCAGCUAAAAAAGCCCAUCAGUUUUUCUGAAACCACUGAGGUACUCCAGGGCCCCAAAGAGGCUCCAUGUUUGUUUUUUAAAAGUUUGAAAGAUACUUUCAGGACAUACACUCCCUUUGACCUGGAGGCACCAGAAAAUGCUCAGGCCAUAAAUUUGGCUUUUGUCUCUCAGUCAGCUCCAGAUAUUUGCAGAAAACUCCAAAAACUCAAAGGGUUUGCAGGCAUGAAUUCUUCCCAACUACUCAAGGUGGCCCAGAAGGUUUUAACAAUCAUGACAGUGCAGCUAAUAAAGCUGCAAAAUACCAGUUUAAAAUCUUGCUGUCCACUAUCCAAGAGUCCAGAAAAACCAGUUCAGAGUCAGAUCAAAGGAACAGAAAUCCAAAAGGAAAGAAAACACCAUUAGGCAAAGUUUGAUGUGACUGGUGUAAAGAACAUGAACAUUGGAAAAAGGACUGUCCUAAAUUAAAGGCAAAAAAAGAGCAAGAACAGAGCCCAGGUGGUUCUCACCAUGGCCUUCCCCUCUGAUUCAGAGGCUGAUGAAUGAAGGAGCCAGGGCUCAAUAUCUCUCAGCCUCCAUAAGCACAUCCAUGGUAAUUGCCAAGAUAGGGGUCCAAAUUCUUAAUCUUGUAGUUGAUAUUGGAGCAGGAUAUUCUGUCCUCACCUCUCCCAUAGACCCUAGGGAAAAAUCACCAUACAAUAGGAAAAGGCGCAAUAGGAAACAUCAAACAUUACCCAAUGACCACCAAAAGGACUGUACACCUAGGAACAAAGGCAGUGACACAUUCUUUUCUUGUUGUCCCUGACUGCUCAUUUAUCCUUUUAGGAUGUGAUCUGCUCUGAAAAUUGGGUGCUGUUAUCUCAUUUUCUCCUAUAGGCACAACUCUUUCUCUCAGACUAGCCUAGCAGCUCUUAGUGGCAAUACUGCUCAGUGAUGAAUAUAUGUUUAUUCCCCAACCUAAAGGAAACCACUCUCCCAAAGAAAUUGAACUAUUGAACUGCUGGAAACAAAAAUAUCUUGAUGUAUGGACUGAACAAGGACAUCCAGGCCUGGCUCAACACCACCCUCCAGUGGUUGUAAAAACUUUUAUCUUCGGCACAAAAGGUGAGAGUAAAAUGAGAUAUCCCAUGAGUUUCCAGGCUCGAAAAUGAAUUUCUCCUCACAUAUGCUGGCUCCUGGAGGCCAGAAUACUGACUUCCUGCAAGUCCGCCUGGAACACACUGUUCCUGUCUGUAAAGAAGCCAGGAGGAGGGGCUGGGGUUGUGGCUCAGCAGUAGAGCGCUUGCCCAGCACAUGAGAGGCCCUGGGUUUGAUCCUCGGCACCACAUAAAAAUAA